AUGACCGAAGAAGAAACAUGUGAAGGUGGCCAUGUUGGUCUAGCUGCAGCAGCAAGGGCGAUGGAGGUGGGGCGGCGUCAGGAGGCGCAAUGCAGAGGAGGCCGAUGGGGCAUGGAGGAGCGGCACGAGACGAGCAAGCAGCGAACAGUACAGGGGUUGCAGAGAGGCGAGGUGGAGGAGGAGCUGGCAGCGCUGGCCUUGCCGAUGCCGGCAGCAGGCCGCUACGAUGGCUGGCGCGCGAGAAGAGCCUUGAUAAGUGGGAAAAUAAUUAUUGGCAAGGUUAGAGAGUGA
This 291-nucleotide ribosomal RNA is filed under the name Triticum aestivum (bread wheat). Its description in RNAcentral is "partial small subunit ribosomal RNA". Lineage: Eukaryota; Viridiplantae; Streptophyta; Magnoliopsida; Poales; Poaceae. The record is from RNAcentral.